CAGCAGCCGCGGGAAUACGGAGGGUGCAAGCGUUACUCGGAAUCACUGGGCGUAAAGGACGCGUAGGCGGAUUAUCAAGUCUCUUGUGAAAUCUAACGGCUUAACCGUUAAACUGCUUGGGAAACUGAUAAUCUAGAGUAAGGGAGAGGCAGAUGGAAUUCUUGGUGUAGGGGUAAAAUCCGUAGAUAUCAAGAAGAAUACCUAUUGCGAAGGCGAUCUGCUGGAACUUAACUGACGCUAAUGCGUGAAAGCGUGGGGAGCAAACAGGAUUAGAUACCCCCGUAGUCCCUGUCUCUUAUAC
This 301-nucleotide ribosomal RNA is filed under the name uncultured bacterium. RNAcentral's name for it is "partial 16S ribosomal RNA". It matches the Rfam family "Bacterial small subunit ribosomal RNA", at positions 509 to 807 of the family's 1533-position model. The record is from RNAcentral.